RNAcentral lists this ribosomal RNA (428 nucleotides) under Chloroflexota bacterium. Its description in RNAcentral is "Chloroflexi bacterium partial 16S ribosomal RNA". It matches the Rfam family "Bacterial small subunit ribosomal RNA", at positions 355 to 776 of the family's 1533-position model. The record is from RNAcentral. Lineage: Bacteria; Bacillati; Chloroflexota.
UGGGGAAUAUUGCACAAUGGGCGCAAGCCUGAUGCAGCCAUGCCGCGUGUAUGAAGAAGGCCUUCGGGUUGUAAAGUACUUUCAGUCGGGAGGAAGGUGGUAAGGUUAAUAACCUAUCAAUUGACGUUACCGACAGAAGAAGCACCGGCUAACUCCGUGCCAGCAGCCGCGGUAAUACGGAGGGUGCAAGCGUUAAUCGGAAUUACUGGGCGUAAAGCGCACGCAGGCGGUUGAUUGAGUCAGAUGUGAAAUCCCCGGGCUUAACCCGGGAAUUGCAUCUGAUACUGGUCAGCUAGAGUCUUGUAGAGGGGGGUAGAAUUCCAUGUGUAGCGGUGAAAUGCGUAGAGAUGUGGAGGAAUACCGGUGGCGAAGGCGGCCCCCUGGACAAAGACUGACGCUCAGGUGCGAAAGCGUGGGGAGCAAACAGG